RNAcentral lists this ribosomal RNA (458 nucleotides) under uncultured bacterium. Its description in RNAcentral is "partial 16S ribosomal RNA". It matches the Rfam family "Bacterial small subunit ribosomal RNA", at positions 338 to 795 of the family's 1533-position model. The record is from RNAcentral.
CCUACGGGGGGCAGCAGUGGGGAAUAUUGCACAAUGGGGGAAACCCUGAUGCAGCGACGCCGCGUGAGUGAAGAAGUAAUUCGUUACGUAAAGCUCUAUCAGCAGGGAAGAAACACUGACCUUACGGUCAGCAGACGGUACCUGAGUAAGAAGCCCCGGCUAACUACGUGCCAGCAGCCGCGGUAAUACGGAGGGGGCAAGCGUUAUCCGGAUGUACUGGGUGUAAAGGGAGCGUAGACGGUGCGCCAAGUCUGGAGUGAAAUGCCACAGCUUAACUGGGGAACUGCUUUGGAAACUGGCGAACUAGAGUGCGGGAGGGGUAAGCGGAAUUCCUAGUGUAGCGGUGAAAUGCGUAGAUAUUAGGAGGAACACCGGUGGCGAAGGCGGCUUACUGGACCGUAACUGACGUUGAGGCUCGAAAGCGUGGGGAGCAAACAGGAUUAGAUACCCGAGUAGUC